Non-coding RNA from Paramuricea clavata, 84 nucleotides. The record is from the annotation of a GenBank genome assembly. NCBI's taxonomy places the organism in Eukaryota, Metazoa, Cnidaria, Anthozoa, Malacalcyonacea, Plexauridae.
GGCUCGUAGCUCAGUUUGUAGAGCAUUAAUUGGACUAUAGACAUAGUAUCCCAAAGGUCGGGGGUUCGAUUCCCACCGUGGUCC